RNAcentral lists this unclassified non-coding RNA (1546 nucleotides) under Hevea brasiliensis (rubber tree). Lineage: Eukaryota; Viridiplantae; Streptophyta; Magnoliopsida; Malpighiales; Euphorbiaceae. The record is from RNAcentral.
AUAAAAAGCAGACAAAUCUUCGUGUAAAAUGCACAGUAGAUGCAUUAAAGGGAAUAUUAAUUCUGAACACAUCAAGCCAUCUCCUUAACACAUUACAAGAAUCCUAUAUUAUAUGAUAUAUUGAUCACUAAUUGCAUAAUUAAAGCUCAAAUGGAUCGACAACACAAUUGCAUAAGCAAUGCAAAUAAUUAAACUUGAUCACAGAAGACGCCGAGGUUUACGAGCACUAACCAACUUCACAUCAUCUAAUACAGGUCCACAAAGUGAACCAGAUUGAUUCAUGGUGUAAAAUGAGCUCAGGAACACAACCCUUGUGCGUGUUGACACGGCAUUGAACUGGAAUCUGGCACGCUUGAACCCUCCUGUGCCCUUGGAUUGAUAAGGAACUUCAAUUUUAUCCUUACCUGCAUAUGCCUCUAUUGCCAUGGAUCCUUCGCAUGAAUUGUUAGCAUCACCUACAUUGAAGGUUAGUUCAUAGGUCUUUCCGGGUAUAGUCUUAACUAUUUGUGCAAGGGCACUUUCUUUUCCUGCCAUAAGUUCAAUGGCUCGUUCGCCUUUUGGAACUGAAAAGUGAUCGAAGUCUAUGUACUUCACUGCCUUGAGAGAUUCAAUCAUCCAACCAGGUAAAGGGCUGUGGUCAUCUUCAAUGUUUGGUGGAAUUAGGACUCCCCAGUCUGUGUUGGGGAACAUAUAUGGUCCCUCUUCAAAAUUUCCAUUCUUUAGCAAGUUCCCUGCAAAUAAAUAGAAAUUAGGUUGAUAUGUGUUACAUGGUGAUCAAGAAGACAUACUUAGGGGCUUGUUUGGUUCAGCGGUUGUGGUAAACAUCAAAUGUUAGCUGCCAGUAAUCAAACAUGAACUUGAUAUAAUACGCGAAAAGCCACUUUUGAUCUCAUCAAGUAGCGGAGAUUACCUCUAGUACGUUUGGGAUUAGAUAGAAACUUCAGUGCUACAGAAUCAAUCAGUGGGCCGCAGGCAGGGUCCUCCUCCACACCUGGAUGAUGGAUAGUGAUCUCAACUUCAGAAGCAUCAGCCUGGAAACCCCAAGCAUAUGAAUCCCAUCCUUUGCUGCUAUACAUUGUUUGCAUUGGCAGGAUUCCCCAAUCAUUUGGUUCAGAAUUUGGAGAAACAGAAACAUUUAGCUUCUCCUCCUGGGCACAGGUGCGAGCUACAUUAAAAGUUAUAGAGUAAAAGCUGUUCUUUGUGACAUUAAUCUUCUGCUUUAUGGAUGCUUGAUUGCCUAAUCUAACUGCAAAGGCUCCAUCAGGCACAACUAGCAGCAUGUCACCUUGUUUUUGACCUGAUUUUAUGUAUUCAACAUAGCCUGAAAUUUCCCAGUUAGGGAUAGCAUUCUUUGCUGUUACUACUGGUCCUUUCAUUUGCCCUGGCUUUGGUCCGUGCUCAAAGUCCCCAUUUGGCAACAAACCGUCGGUCACCGAGAAGGCAACAUGACUGGUGGUGCUAAGUAGCAAUAGCAAUAGCGACACCGUGGCUCUGUACAUUUUAGCUGUUGUAGCUUCCUGUGAGAGAAGAGGGAGAGAAGUGUCUU